Molecule: ribosomal RNA, 1017 nt
Filed under: uncultured bacterium
Lineage: Bacteria
Description: bacterial SSU rRNA
Rfam family: Bacterial small subunit ribosomal RNA
Source: RNAcentral
UGAGGAAUAUUGGUCAAUGGGCGCAGGCCUGAACCAGCCAAGUAGCGUGAAGGAUGACUGCCCUAUGGGUUGUAAACUUCUUUUAUAAAGGAAUAAAGUCGGGUAUGUAUACCCGUUUGCAUGUACUUUAUGAAUAAGGAUCGGCUAACUCCGUGCCAGCAGCCGCGGUAAUACGGAGGAUCCGAGCGUUAUCCGGAUUUAUUGGGUUUAAAGGGAGCGUAGAUGGAUGUUUAAGUCAGUUGUGAAAGUUUGCGGCUCAACCGUAAAAUUGCAGUUGAUACUGGAUAUCUUGAGUGCAGUUGAGGCAGGCGGAAUUCGUGGUGUAGCGGUGAAAUGCUUAGAUAUCACGAAGAACUCCGAUUGCGAAGGCAGCCUGCUAAGCUGCAACUGACAUUGAGGCUCGAAAGUGUGGGUAUCAAACAGGAUUAGAUACCCUGGUAGUCCACACGGUAAACGAUGAAUACUCGCUGUUUGCGAUAUACAGUAAGCGGCCAAGCGAAAGCAUUAAGUAUUCCACCUGGGGAGUACGCCGGCAACGGUGAAACUCAAAGGAAUUGACGGGGGCCCGCACAAGCGGAGGAACAUGUGGUUUAAUUCGAUGAUACGCGAGGAACCUUACCCGGGCUUAAAUUGCAUUUGAAUAUAUUGGAAACAGUAUAGCCGUAAGGCAAAUGUGAAGGUGCUGCAUGGUUGUCGUCAGCUCGUGCCGUGAGGUGUCGGCUUAAGUGCCAUAACGAGCGCAACCCUUAUCUUCAGUUACUAACAGGUUAUGCUGAGGACUCUGGAGAGACUGCCGUCGUAAGAUGUGAGGAAGGUGGGGAUGACGUCAAAUCAGCACGGCCCUUACGUCCGGGGCUACACACGUGUUACAAUGGGGGGUACAGAAGGCCGCUACCUGGUGACAGGAUGCUAAUCCCAAAAGCCUCUCUCAGUUCGGAUCGAAGUCUGCAACCCGACUUCGCGAAGCUGGAUUCGCUAGUAAUCGCGCAUCAGCCAUGGCGCGGUGAAUACGUUCCC